UGGUUCGUAGGCCUUUUUGAG
This 21-nucleotide unclassified non-coding RNA is filed under the name Mus musculus (house mouse). RNAcentral describes it as "oocyte_clustered_small_RNA10083". The record is from RNAcentral. Lineage: Eukaryota; Metazoa; Chordata; Mammalia; Rodentia; Muridae.